Molecule: ribosomal RNA, 106 nt
Filed under: uncultured bacterium
Lineage: Bacteria
Description: partial 16S ribosomal RNA
Source: RNAcentral
GGUACCGUCAUUAUCUUCCCUAGCGAAAGAAUUUUACAACCCUAAGGCCUUCAUCAUUCACGCGGCAUGGCUGGAUCAGAGUUGCCUCCAUUGUCCAAUAUUCCCC